UGUGUUAAGCAAGAUUUGUCAACCUUGCCAGCCAAGUCACUUACUGCAAAGGGUUACAAAGCAGUGUUUCGUUUCAAACUGUUACUGCUUUAGAUUCACUAAAAGCCUACUACUUCUACUCUGGUAAAUCACAUCAGCUUUAUCAGAUCUAAAUUGGAGCAGCUACAGACUAUAUUGCUCCCAGCACCCAGAACCACUCUGAGAGGUCCUUUAACAAAUGUUGCAGUAAUAAUGGUAUGGAAUAGCCCUCUUUCAAAUGGAGGGCUCAUCCAUACAGGGGUGCUGGGAGGCACCAAGUAAAAAAUAGCAACAAAAAAAUUUUUAAUAUAUUCAAUCAGUGAAGAUAUUAACUUUUUUAAUA
Hydra vulgaris (swiftwater hydra) is the source of this 361-nucleotide non-coding RNA. NCBI's taxonomy places the organism in Eukaryota, Metazoa, Cnidaria, Hydrozoa, Anthoathecata, Hydridae. The record is from RefSeq and is a predicted model, not a curated record.